Molecule: long non-coding RNA, 7737 nt
Filed under: Equus asinus (donkey)
Lineage: Eukaryota; Metazoa; Chordata; Mammalia; Perissodactyla; Equidae
Description: lncRNA (ENSEASG00005028603.1)
Source: RNAcentral
CUUGGGACUUUUUGAUAUUUUCUAAUUGUUUGUUGUCUGUCUCUCCUGGAAUGUGAACUCCAUAAGAGCAAAGACCUUGUCUGCCUUCCUCCCUCUUGACUCUCCAGUGCCUGCUCCAGUGUCUGGCACACAGUAGGUGCUCAGUAUGCUGAACACAUCAGGCAUGGUGCUGAGCCUUUACGUGCAGUGUCUCAUCUCCUCCUUACAACAACCCUAUGAGAUCGGCACUUGUGUUCUUGUUUUAGAGAUGAAGAAACUAAAGUUCAAAGUGAUUUAAUAAGUUUCUCAAGCUGCAAGUGGAAGAGUCAACUGGGAUUUGAUCCGAGAGCAGAGCCUGGGUGCCCAACCACUUUACAGAGGUCUUGGUGACAGGAGGGCCAUUUGGUGUCGGCUGUAAUUGCAAAGCUUACUGCAGCCCAAAGGAUGGCACACUUGUCUGUGUACCUGUCUACCUGCCUCCUAGGAGGCUGUGGAGUUUCUGUCAGCCUUGUUGCAACUCACAGGUAAAGGGCUGUGGGGGUGACUCAUGCUGGCUGGGCUCCGAUGGAGGCUGUGAUGCCAGGUGGCGUGUCUGUGCUCGCUGGGCUUUUUUAAAUAGGUCCUCUCCCUCUGCCUCUGGAUCUUACCUUUUUAAUCGCCCACGCUCAUCUGCAGAGAUCAGCAGAAGCCUAAAUCAUGGGGCAGAGGAUUUCUAUAGAAGGCUCCAGAAGGCACCCUGGAUGGGGUGGAGGGACUAGUGGUCUAGGAUAGGUAGGCAGGGACACCAUGAGCCAGUUUGCAAGGUCACCAGACCCCUCCAGCAGGAGCUGUGCCUCCCAGUGAGGAGGCACAAGCUGUUAGGCGUUUGUUGAACAACUCAGAGAUGCCAGGUUUUAGAGAGACGCUACCCCAGCUCUGCUCCCUGCUCCCACCCCUUUCCUAUCCUGUGUGGCAUGAGUGUGGCCCAGGGCUAGGCAGGGCUGGCAUCGCUUCCCCUUCUUGGAUCGGCCCAGUUCUUGGUUUCUUGGCUGAGGAGAUUGAAAACAGAGACCAGCCAAUCACCUGUGACAUAAUAAUUGUAUUCACAAUAAUAACAGUAAAUAAUGAGGGCUGCUGCUAUUUAUUUCGUGUUUGUAUGUUGCAAGCACUGUGCUAAAAGGUACCUGUGUUAUCUGAUAGUGUUGGUCUGAGGCUGACAGACCUGGCUUCAAACCCCAGCUCAACCACUUACUCGCUAUGUGAUGCUGGCCAGUGACUUAAGCUCUUUGAGCCUCAGUUUCCUCACUUGUAAAAUGGAUAAAAACCAGUAUCUCCCUCAUAGGAUUACUGUGAGGAUUAAAUGACAUAAUGGACAUGAAGUGUGUUGUGCAGUGCCUGACAAAUAACACUCAAGAAUUGUUAGGAAACUUUUUUUCUCAUUUUAAUUGUCAUUUAAACCUAAUGAGGAAGCUGUUAGCUAAUUUUACAGGUGAAGAAACUGAGACUCAGAGGGGUUGUGAUUUGUCAUAAGUGAAAGAGUUGAAAUUUGAACUCAGAUCUCUCUGCCUCCGUUCUUAUAGAACUCGACUAAGUCAGGGAUUGUCCUAGGUUCAAUUUCUGUCUGACCACUGGCCACUUACUAGCUGAGAAAGGUAAAUCUCUUGUCUCAGAACCUCAGUUUCCCUCUCUGUAAGUCAAGGUUAGUGAAUCACUGUAAGGUUGGAGUUCGGUAUUAAGUCACCUGGGAUUCCCUCUAGAUUACUUCUGGAAAAGAAGUGUUCCUUCUCUAGACACUAGGAGAUGCCCCCAGAGGAUGGCACCGUCCUUCACCCCUCCCUCUCUUUUCUAGGAUUAUGACUGCCCAUGAGCCACUGUUCCAAGAGAGUGUGACAUUCUUGGCAUGUUGGGGAGGAGUAAAGGUUAGAACUACUGAGUUAAAUAAGUGCUGAGAGCUAGGGCCACUUCGUCUGUCUGUGAAAGUUGUGCACCGCACAGUCAUAGUGCCAUUUACAGUACGAGACUUGCACUAUUGGACAAAAUGGCCUUGCUAACACGACUACUUCAUGGUUAUUCAAAACUUCAUGAAAAUCCGCUGACCUAUAUAAAAAUACUGAGAGGACAGAUCUGCAGAUGCCAGCAGUGCUUCUCUAUGGGUGCUGAAAUGACAGCAUUUUAGUUGUUUCCCUGUCCUCUCUCCCCCACCAAGUUUUCUGCAUUGAUCUUGCGUCGUUGUUUUUGUAUUUAGAAACUCUAUACAAAACCUCAUUUUAAAUGUCAUUAAACCAAAAUAAUCGCCCAUGGACUAAAUGGGCAUCACCUCCCUCUUCUUCCUGGAGCAAAGGUAGAGAUGAGAGUAGGAAGGACUGAGGGUCCUUGCUCAGCGCUUCCCUGUGCAGUGCGUCGGAGGAGGAUGGGCGCUGCCCACUGUGGGCUCUAAGCAGUGAGCUCAGGAUCAGAUCCGAUCUUGACUUAAUUAAAAUUAUUGCUUAUUGAGCUCUUAUUCUGUUAUGUUUGCUUUAGAUGCUUUAUCUCAUUCCUCCCUGUAAAAUGGGGUCGCAAAAUCCACCCCAGCUAAACUUGACUCCUGGGGCACUGGCUGCAUUACUAAAGGAUGUAAGCUCUGGAGUUGACUGCCUAAGACCUUGGCCGAGCAACUUCAUUUCCUCGUUACCUAAGUUUUCUUCUCGGUGAUAUGAUUGCUGUGAGGAUUAAAGGAGGUAACACAGUGUCCUUAGUAUGUGCCAGGCACAGUUCUAGGUGCUUUAUGUGCAUAGCAUGUAAUUCCUUUGAAUCCUGUGAAGUAGUUUUCGUAAUUAUCCCCAGGUUACGGGAGAGGAACAGGCUCAGAGAGGUGAGAUAAUGCAUCUAAGGUCACCUGGCUGUCUGCUUAGUGACAGAGAUAGAAUCAAACCAAGGUCUGCCUGACCCCAAAGCCAUGGAAACGGUCCUUUCAGCCUCAUGAGUUCCUCUUUGGAACAAAGCCUGGGAUGGAUGGAUGGGCGGAGGGAAAGAAGGACGGAGGGAAGAAAAGUAGAUAGGCUGGUUGAUAGAAUUUGUAAGGUAGAUAGUAAGUGUUUAAUAAAUAUUUGUUGAAUAAAUGAAAAAUGGAUGAAUGCAUGUACUUUACACAAGAUAAUUGACAUUCUAGGCAAAUCAACUAUUGCCUUCUACUCCCACACCCCAGGGAAGACCUCCCAAGUUUGAAUUUCUAACUCCUUCUUAUUAGCAUUUACCUUUGGACCAGUUACUCAGUUCUGUAAGUUUCAGUUUCCCCAUCAUUCCUCAGUGGGGUAGACCUGAGAAUUAAAUUAAAGAAGAUCUCAAUGUGAAGCCAGUGGCAAGUAGUAGGUACCCAGUAAAAGAUAGCUGGUGUUAUAGGUGAGCACCCCGCUUAGAAAGGGGUCCUCGGCCACCAGCCAUUUCCAGCCUCAUUAUACAGCUUAGUUCACAGCACUCAGCACUCAACCUCCAUAAAAAAACAGCCCCUUCUAUGUGUAAAGCUCUGUUUCGUUUACAAAGUGUUUUCCUAUGCUUUAUCUCCUCUGAUAAAGCCACAGGGGCAGGGGAAAGAAUGUAUUAUUGGCCCCCUUUGAUAGAUAAACUGAGGUUCAGAGAAAGUACCCUUACUUAAGCAAAGGAGUUUGGAUUGGAACGUCAGAUUUUGGAUGAAGCCAUGGCCCUAGAUGCCAUUAUGAAUCCUAAUGGGUCCCAGAAGUACUAUCCUAAAGCUCUGUAAAUGUUCCAUCAUAGUAUUCUUCUCUACCCCAUCACUUGACUGAAGUGGAGAGAGUAUGGCCCUAAUUUGAAGGCAUGGAAGGACCUGGAAGUUGUGCUUGUGGAGGGUCAGGAGUAGGCAGCCUCCAGGCCCCUUUACACUCUGUACUUUAGAUUUUUAUCAUAGUUCUGCCAAUAACACCACCUACAUUCCUUCCUGGAAGUUCCUUGAACGUGAAGAAUCAUUAUGGGGUCUAAAGUCAUCCUGAAAGCUCCCCUUAAAAAAAACAAGAGAACGUCAAUGAAUACCCUGGAAACAAGCAGUUAUUUAUUUAUUUUUUUUCACUUAUCAAGUUGAUAAAGAUGAAAGAAAUCCUAAACUCCAGUCUUGGCAAGGAUGAGGAACACAGGCUGUCUCCUUGCUGGAGGGGGAGUGAAUCAGUCCAAACUUUGGCUUAAGAUUCUAGCUCAUCCUUAGAUCUAGCAAUUCUACUCAUAGGAGUUUAGUCUAAGCAAAUAAUCUGUGUGCAAGGACUUAUCUGCUAGGAUAUGCAUCAGAGCACUGUUCAUAAUCCUGAAAAAUUAGAGUUAAUAUAAAUACCUUCAGCAGAGGCUCAGUAAGAUAAAGUCAGACCCCUGAAUGUAGUUGCGUACCAAGCCACAGCUUAAAAGGACGCUGCAGAAGGCCCUUAGUACCUGGAAGUUACUUCUUGUGUUUCCAGGACAAUUCUUCACAUUUAUGAGUCCUUACUACAUGCGAGGCACUGGGCUCAGUGUUUAAUCUCGUUUAAUCCACACAACAGCCCUGUGAGAUAAGUACCAUUACCCUUAUUUUACAGAUGGGAAGAGUGAGACCCACAGGUGCGACAACUCACCAGGGCUCUUUCCGGGGUCUCUGAGCUGGGUCUGCGGCCCGAGUCUCAUGCCCUACCUUUAAGUCUUUCACUUACUCUAGUAAGUUAGUCCACUCCUGUUUCUAAAACCCGUUUAUGUGAAUAGAGACAGAACAGGAAAGAUAGACACCAGCGAGUAUCAUGGAUAAUGGGAUCAGGGUGAUUUCUAUUUGAUUCUUUUUGCUUAUCUCUUGACAUUAUUUCCUGUUAAUAGAAAAAAUGAAACUGUUUGCAGUUAUUAAAAAGUAACAAAUCAGAGAAGGCUUAUCCCUGAGCUGGGAAGGAAGACGCAGCCAGAGUGCUGCCUGGAGAUUCUUUCUCUGUUGCCAAGAACCAGCCAAAACAGGAGGCAGCCAGAGAGAGGAGUGCCAGGAAGAAUGCAGUCUCCAUCCUGGAAGGAGAGGGCCCACUGGAAAGAACAGAACCCAGCUGGCUCAGCCCGGGCGGACCACUCUUUCCAGGGACCUGGCCUUGGGCCCUAGCCCCCGCCCCAGCCCACCUGCUCUUGUGGGCCAUCACCAGCCUGCAUAUUAAAAGGGCCUCGCUGAGAAACAGGCUAUUAAUCCCUACCACCACCAUGGGAAACAGUGCUAAAAAUGCAUUUCCCCCUUUCUUUCGUCUAUCUGCAGGGGUCAAAGGAGGGGCUUGGGGGUUCAGAUGAGGGUUUCCUUGAGGAACUACCAAGGAAAAGUGUCUAAGGCCUCUAAGGCCUUGUUUGGGCAGAGAGGCUCCUGGUGCCCCAGUGCCGAAGGGAAGGAGUGAGUAUCUGGGGUCAGUGCUGCCUUCUGGGUUAGAGUGAGGUGGAGCAGGAUGGGGUGGGGUCUGCUCCAGGCUCAGAGAGGUUCAAGUAGGCACAAUUAACCCGUGUAAAGUCCGUUGCUAUUCCUUAAGAGUUUUCCUUCAAGGCUGCCCUUGGUGUUUAGAUCUGAUCUCACUGGAGAGGAGAUGGGGGAAGGAUUUGCUAGGGCCUUCUGGGCCCCACAUCUUCUCAGAAAGGCAGAGGCCAUGUGGUCAGAGGUUAAGUGCUUGACCGUGGACCUUGGACAUUCAGGUGAGGGUUCUUCUGAAUCCACAGCUAGCCUGCCCGCAAGAUUUUUUUUUUUUUUAGGAAGAUUAGCCCUGAGCUAACUUCUGCUGCCAAUCCUCCUCUUUUUGCUGAGAAAGAUUGGCCCUGAGUUAACAUCCAUGCCCAUCUUCCUCUACUUUCUAUGUGGGACGCCUAACACAGCAUGGCUUGCCAAGCGGUGCCUUGUCCACACCCGGGAUCCGAACUGGUGAACCCCGGGCCGCUGAAGCGGAACAUGCAUGCUUAACUGCUUUGCCACUGGGCCAGCCCCUGUGCCCAGAAGAUUUUUAAGGCCCUCAGUUUGGGGGCAGGUGGUCAAGCAGUGGGGAAUGGGAAGGACUUAGAAACUGUGGCCUGGAGGGACCUAAGAACCAUGUCUUGCACCAAGUUCAGGCUCCUCCAACAGUUCCCUCAGGAAGGCUGCCACUCAAAAGUCACCGUCAACCUCACCACCUCUCCCUUGUCCCUGCUCACCCUUUCAGCCUGUGCUCUGGACAGGCUGCCCACACUGCCUGGGCUCACACUGUGCUGUGGUCAGCUUUCCCUCCCAGACUGGGUUCAUUUAUUUGGUUCUGUCACCGCUACCUCCCAUUCCCCAGUUGCUCGGAAUCUCCUCCACUUCAAGACCCAGCUAUCUAUAUUCACGCAUUAUUCAUUUAUUCAUCCAAUGAAUAUGUAGAUUUAUUUAUCAUUAAAAAUUAUAGUGGUAUCUCUCACUUUUUGAGCACUUUAUAUGCCAGACCGUGCUACGCAUCUUCUCUGCCCCGUCUCACUCAAUCCUUGCAGCUGCCCAGGGAUUUAGGUACAGUCAGCACCUCUGCUUUAUAUAUGCAGAGACCGAGGCCCAGAGAGCCUUAAAACUUGAUCGGGUCACGCAGCACCACCGACCAAGCUGGAAUUUGAACCCAGGCUGCGUGGCUCAAAAGCUCAAGCCCAGAACCACCAUUUAUGUUGCCUCAGCAAGCAGUCAGUCAUGAACUGAGUGAGGACCUGCCCUGGCCGGGCUUCUGUACCCCAGGCUGAGACAGAAACAAAUGAGGCAUAUUUCUGCCUGUGCAGAAGCCCACUGAGGGAAACUUCGUGCAACCCCUCUACUCGGGAAAACCUUUUCUCCUUUUUCUCUAUUUACAACUGAAUUUUUGUAAAGUCAGUUUUGUUACCAAAUUUCAUAGAUGCUCAUGUGUUGGAGGACUUUGUGAAAGUUCUCUGAUCUCCCCCUCUAGGUGAUGCAGGAAGCUGUGUUGCAGAGCACCUGCCCAGCGUGCGUGGACACAUACACACACACACAGAGCGCAUCUAGUUGAGAGCUUGGAUUUUGGAACCACACUACUCGAGUUUAAAUCUUGGCUCUCCCAUUUACUACCUAUGACCUUGGGCUAGUCCUUUGAACUCUCUGAGCCCCAGUUUCUUCAUCUUUAAAAUAGGCAUAACUUUUACAUUGUAGGGUUUUUGCAAAGAUUAAAUGAGGUAACACAUGCAAAGCAUGUAGCACCCUAAGUCCUGAUAUUGUUGUUAUCAUUAGGGAUGGGCAUAUCUUGCCUUCUUGGCAAAACAGUGAGUUCCUUGUCUUGUCGCUUUGUGCCUGCCGCCCAGGGCCCUCAGCCCAGGGCAGAUGUGCCUGGUGAGAGAGGUUAGUUACCAGCUUCCUCGGCCUCAGAGGGGGUGUGAGGGUGAGUGUUCCUUUUGCCCAGGCUCCUUCGGAAUCUUGAGUCACGCUCCACAGCUCUCCCUAAAGAGAUGCUUCCUUCAGCCUCAGCCCUCUCCCCUUUCACAAUAAGCUCAGUCAUUCGCACCCUCCUGGGUCAUGUGCAGACUUCCCCAGUAUUACCUGUUGAUGGGCCCUGGGGAAACCUCCAAGAAGAUGAGAGUCUUGAUAGGCAGAUGACAGUGACUUGACUCUCUAGCCCAUGGCUUUGGCUGUUGGGCCAUAUUUCGAAUCCACUGGUGGCCUCUGAAUUGACUAAUGACCCACAGGGCCACGCUAUUUCAUUUGGCUGCCCUCGGACUAAGUGACAACUCAUCUGGAUGGGACAAGUUAGGGAGUCUUUUGUUUCAGUCUCUUCCACUCUCCAGUCCCUGGGGGUUCCCUGAAGCCUGUGAAGUGGU